GCAGUAAAACAAUACUGUGACAUUCAUUCGCUAUCUCUGACUAUUACGCGUGGUCGAGUCAUGAGAACCCAAUGACCAUUGAAGUCGAGACGUCCCUGUAAAACACUCAAAGGUCAAUAUUUCGUAAGGCUUUUAGUCAUUCUUAAUAAUUGCUCGUUGUAAACAGCUGUUGAUGUAUUGACACAGUUUUUGUGUCUUUUUCGGGUUGUAAAUACGAUAUCCCGCUUUAGACGCAGUUGCGAUAGUGCUGUUGAUUUUUCACAUCGUUUGGUGAUGAAUCAAUUUAAUUCAAGCUAUCGGUGGUCUUGAUGCACGUGGAGUUGUCAGCGGUGCGUAUAAAUCUUUCAUAUCAACUCGGCUGUCCGCUCCGAGAUGGACCGCCAAUUAUUGAGCCUGCUCCACGAAUCCAGAGGGUAACGUUGAUCUGUAAUAAUAACGAGUUUCUCAAAGUCUGGCGCCUGGAACUAGGGUCCUUUGCCGGCGCUCUCUUUGGGAAGUUUUCAACAAUUUGUGUUACGAUUUGCAAAAAGGGCCCUUGUGUUGAAAUUUUGAAUUUUGCGUUUCUUGCGCGUGUCUGUCCUCGAAGGAAAUUUGAUCAUUCAUUUGAGCCCAAGUUUUUCGAAAUAUACCCUGUGAAAGUUGGAUUGGAAAAGAGUUCGAAAACUUAACUUGUUUUUCUCAUAUAUACCUACUUUUCAAAAUUCUUAAAAAAUUAACUGAGACCUCGUUUUGGAGAUCGCAUCACGUUUACUUGUGUGACUUUGAUUCCUACAGCUAUGACUGAGAUUUUGUUUCUCAAAAUCGUAUACCUGAUCGGUUACGAGAAAUCCAUAGUUACUUUAUAGUUAAGGUUUUUUGACUUGUACCUAUGAAUGGGCAAUUCAAAGUUAUAAUGAUCUUUCAUAAAAAAUUUACCCCUAUCAAGCACUGUCACAAAUAACCUGAACAACAUAAGCAAACUUUGGACUCUGAGUCAAAUUGCCUCGCUCAUUAUAAAGUCUUAAAGUACGAAAAAUGUUCACAUACUUCCUACAAAGAUACAACAACCGAUGCAUGCAAAUAAGUAACCGUUAUGUAUUCAAACUUGGUCCACCUCACACGAAUCUGAGCUCAAAUCACUUACCCUGUUGAAAAUUAUUAGCUUCAUAACUAAUAAGAAAGUUACAAUAUCGCCGAAGUCAUAUGCCCUCUUUAGAACCCAAUCCAAUUCAAGUAGAGCUUUGAGCUUGUUUCACACUUAGUUUAUCGUAAAAUUACUACCAGUCUUUAUGUCGGCACUGUGAUCUCGCCACCGGAGAAAAAGCAACGUUGCCAAGAUACAAGAAUUCCUCGUGCUAUUAAGUCGUCGCCUUCCUGACAUAAGGGCGUAACUACACUCGAAGAUGGGUCCUGUUAUCCAUAUAACUCAAUGCUUUCUCGGCAGGGCCGUAUUUCCCAUUAGGCCGGGUAGGCCGCGGCCUACAGCGGCAAUUUUUGAGGGGCGGCAAAUUUUGAAAUUCGAGGUUUUUUUUUGUAAAGUUGGCAAAAUUUAGGAUGCACAGGGGUGGCGGAACUUCAAAGUCCAAGGACCCCCGCGGUGAGCUCUGCCAGACUGGUAAUUAUUUUUUAGCUCCUUAAUUUCGCUCAAAAUAAUCAAAUAAAAUCCAAAGGUAUUAAACCCGGUGACCGGUGUAUUGUCACCAGGCCCGCCACAUCCUAUCUCGGGCCCUGGUACCAGUUUUCUGACCCGGGCCCCUGGCACAGAGGGGGGUCUGGGGGGCCUCCCACGGGAAAUUUUAUAAAUUUUAAAUCUAUUUGGAUGCAUUUUGAAGCUCUAAUGAUGGAGAUUUUCCAUCAAUUUCUGCAGAAUAAUUACGCCUUUUUUUUUACUUUCAGCGCCAAAUACUUUCGAAUUGUUGCAUUCAAAACAUCUAUAAUUUUAGCGGCUCUGGUGCUUGCACUAGAGCUGCUAUUCCGGACGGUCCCAGCUGGGGAGUAUCAAUGGACCAUGUUACAUUGGAGAGACCGCGCGUUGGUUGAUGGGAAUCGGCGCCAUUUUCUGCUGUUUAGGGGGACUGAUUUUAUUUUAAUUGAUAUCUUUUUCCUGUGAUCGAAUGCUAUGUUGUGUAGUGUAUUUUUGGAAUCACGGUGAUACAGUCAAUAAAUCAAAACCUGUCUGUUCUUUAAUCUCGUGAUGGAAAAAAUGUACUUUACGUUCAAAAUUUGAAAUUUUGAAUUUUAAAGUUUUCGCGGUUUUUCGGAAGAAUGCAGUGGUUGGAGCUUCCUAGGCAUAUUACUCGAUAUCAGCUGAUAGCAAACAAAGGUUACCAAGGAAACUGUAAACGUUUAACAACUAUCGUGGCCAUCGGGGCCUCGGCCUCGUAGCCUCGCUAAACGACUUAUCAACCAUGCAUUCCGCCAGAGCCGCUUUCCGACGCGAAUGCGUUGGAGCUAACUGCUUGUUUUUUUUGAGGGGGGGCAGAUGAUACUUUUCAAUUCUAGGGGGAGCCGGGCCCCCCUGGACUCUCCUUUCGUACGUCUAUGGCCUAUGGCAAGGGAGUUGAGCCAUUGAAGUCGAGGAUGCCCAGACAGGAGCCUCUUAGCAUCCGACAACGGAAGAAAAUGAAACGCAGUUACUAAAAAU
RNAcentral lists this long non-coding RNA (2623 nucleotides) under Bemisia tabaci. Its description in RNAcentral is "lncRNA ENSASIAIIG005733". The record is from RNAcentral. Lineage: Eukaryota; Metazoa; Arthropoda; Insecta; Hemiptera; Aleyrodidae.